RNAcentral lists this transfer RNA (73 nucleotides) under Cordylochernes scorpioides. RNAcentral's name for it is "tRNA-Thr". It matches the Rfam family "tRNA". From Rfam's summary of the family: Transfer RNA (tRNA) molecules are approximately 80 nucleotides in length. Their secondary structure includes four short double-helical elements and three loops (D, anti-codon, and T loops). Lineage: Eukaryota; Metazoa; Arthropoda; Arachnida; Pseudoscorpiones; Chernetidae. The record is from RNAcentral.
UCCAGGGUAGCCUAGUGGACCUGGUAUCUGCCCGGUAAGCGGAACACUGUGGGUUCGUUUCCCAUCCCUGGAC